CGCAAGCCUGACGGAGAAACGCCGCGUGUGGGAAGAAGGCUCAUGGGCUGUCAACCACUUUUCUCUGGGAAGAUGAUGACGGUACCAGAGGAAUCAGCCUCGGCAAACUCCGUGCCAGCAGCCGCGGUAAUACGGAGGAGGCAAGCGUUAUCCGGAAUUAUUGGGCGUAAAGCGUCCGUAGGUGGUUAUUCAAGUCUGCUGUCAAAGCGUGGGGCCUAACUCCAUAGAGGCAGUGGAAACGGGAUGACUUAAGUGCGGUAGGGGUCGAGGGAAUUCCCAGUGUAGCGGUGAAAUGCGUAGAUAUUGGGAAGAACACCAGUGGCGAAAGCGCUCGACUGGGCCUGCACUGACACUGAGGGACGAAAGCUAGGGGAGCG
This 377-nucleotide ribosomal RNA is filed under the name uncultured cyanobacterium. Its description in RNAcentral is "bacterial SSU rRNA". It matches the Rfam family "Bacterial small subunit ribosomal RNA", at positions 376 to 770 of the family's 1533-position model. Lineage: Bacteria; Bacillati; Cyanobacteriota. The record is from RNAcentral.